RNAcentral lists this ribosomal RNA (463 nucleotides) under uncultured bacterium. Its description in RNAcentral is "partial 16S ribosomal RNA". It matches the Rfam family "Bacterial small subunit ribosomal RNA", at positions 28 to 507 of the family's 1533-position model. The record is from RNAcentral.
GAUGAACGCUGACAGAAUGCUUAACACAUGCAAGUCUUUGGCGAAGCUGUGCUUGCACAGCCUAGCCAAGGCGGACGGGUGAGUAACGCGUAAGGAACUUGCCCUGCAGUCAGGGAUAACAGACGGAAACGACUGAUAAGACCUGGUAAAGUCAGGCGGACUCAUGUCCAGCCUGAUGAAAAGAGAUGCUGCAGGAGAGCCUUGCGUCCUAUUAGCUUGUUGGUGGGGUAACGGCCCACCAAGGCGAUGAUAGGUAGCCGGCCUGAGAGGGUGGACGGCCACAAGGGGACUGAGAUACGGCCCUUACGCCUACGGGAGGCAGCAGUGGGGAAUAUUAGACAAUGAGGGCAACCCUGAUCCAGCAAUUCUGUGGGCACGAUGAAGGUUUUCGGAUUGUAAAGUGCUUUCAGCAGGGAAGAAAAAAAUGACGGUACCUGCAGAAGAAGCGACGGCUAAAUACGUG